This 75-nucleotide transfer RNA is filed under the name Neurospora crassa. Its description in RNAcentral is "tRNA-Arg (TCG) (tRNA-Arg-TCG-3-1)". It matches the Rfam family "tRNA". Rfam says of the family: Transfer RNA (tRNA) molecules are approximately 80 nucleotides in length. Their secondary structure includes four short double-helical elements and three loops (D, anti-codon, and T loops). Further hydrogen bonds mediate the characteristic L-shaped molecular structure. tRNAs have two regions of fundamental functional importance: the anti-codon, which is responsible for specific mRNA codon recognition, and the 3' end, to which the tRNAs corresponding amino acid is attached (by aminoacyl-tRNA synthetases). tRNAs cope with the degeneracy of the genetic code in two manners: having more than one tRNA (with a specific anti-codon) for a particular amino acid; and 'wobble' base-pairing, i.e. permitting non-standard base-pairing at the 3rd anti-codon position. The record is from RNAcentral. RNAcentral also lists the same sequence under 1 other name. Lineage: Eukaryota; Fungi; Ascomycota; Sordariomycetes; Sordariales; Sordariaceae.
GUGCGGUUGGCGUAGUGGUCAGCGCAUCCACCAUCUUCGAUGUGGAAGACCCAGGUUCGAUUCCUGGACCGCGCA